AGUCAACUCAACUCAGUCUUUUAAGUCAAGACUCUUCUUCUUCUUCGUUUUCAUCUUCACCGUUUUCUUCAGUUUCAAGCAAAACUCUUACUCUACUACUCACACACACACACACAGUUAGUAGAAAUGGAGGGAAGGUUCCACAGUCGAGGUCUGGAGCAAGGAAGAUGGGUUUCAGAACGCCUGGUUCUCCGCCGUACGUCAUUCUCGAACCACCGACCCAUACUCUCAAUCCUUCUCCCUCUCUCUCUCUCUCUCCCGUCCAGAAGAAGACGAAGCGUACCAAAAACGACAACUCAAAGGUCGUCGUUCGAUAUCCACACAUGCUCGCCGACGACGGCAAGGAGCUUCUUGUUGAGAAGAUCGACAGCUUUUUCGUCAGGCCAACUCCUCCUCCACCUGACACGGAGCCCGAUAAGCCAUUUGCGCAAAACGACGUCGUUGAUGCCUUGCACCACGAUAUCUGGUGGACCGGAGUCAUCAUCAACGUCGAAAACGACAACUAUACACUGUUCGCUUCGCCAUCCCACCUGAUCUUCUCUACUGCAACCGCUCUCAGCUCCGACCCCACUGGGAUUGGGUCGAUAAGAAAUGGGUACGGUCUGGAAAAUAGGAAAAUAAGUAUUCGAAAUUCAGACCAGGAACAACAGUGGAAGUGAAACUCAUGAGUACUGAAAAUGAGGGCCUCAACUUCUGUUCUGGUGAAGUAUAAGACGACAAAUAAAGAUUAUGCUGAGAAAGUUUCUGUAGCACAACUGGAGAUGAUUCGACCCCAACCUCCAAAAAUGAGUGAGGAUGAUAAAGAUUUUGAGUUGUGGGAGAAGGUGGAUGCUUUUUGUGAUUUGGGUUGGUCAGUUGGGGAGGUCACCAAAAUUCUUCAACACAGAAAGUAUGGUGUUGCUGUUGCUUUUGGGGUGUAGAAGAAGGAGAUGAAGUUUGAUCACACUCAACUGCGCUUUCACUUGGAUUGGGUUGAUGGAAAAUGGGUUAACAAAUCAAGGGAGGAGAACCUAUCUACACUAGUUAGUCGGCAAAAAUCAACAUGUGAUGAAGGUAGAGGUAUUGGGUCAUCGGCCUUAAAUGGAAGUUUGGGUUGUGUUACCGAAAUAGGAACAUAUCGUUCAACAAAUGCGCAUGACAAUCAAAAAUGUCUCCUCCUGGUGUUGAUAAUUCAUCAACAUUUGAACUUGAAGAGCUGCAACUCUCAACUGCAGCUUUCAGCUUUAAUGGCGGUGCUUGAAAACGACGACAUUGAAGAAGGCUACUUCUAUGAGCUUUCCCAUGCCAAGCUCCCUCCCGAAUCCCCGGAGCACCUCUACUCAGUCCGGGUUGUAAUGGUACGUUCUUCCACUCUUUUUUUUUUUCUUUCUUUCUUUCCUUUUUAAUACAAGUCACAUAUAAAUUACACAUUAUUAAUAAUCAUAGAUAAUAUUAGAUAAAUAAUAAACUCUCUUCUCUCCAAGUCCAACUACUCAACUCUCUUCUCUCUCUCUGCAAACGACCACAAUGAGCUUAUGGGAUUACUGGAUUGAAGAGGCUCUUUCAAAGCUCGACUCUUUGCAACUCAACUCCUCCGUUCUCUCAGACCCAUUUACCUCUGCAAUGAACCAGAACACCCCAUCAACACUGCUUCCUCAAAAUCACCCAUUCAAGAUGAAUUCCAGGUGUUCGACGAAUUGCAUACAUGGGACCCUUCCUCCGUUGAGAUUGAGAUUUCAGAUGCCACCUUCCAGAAUUGGGUCCAUCACAUUUCUUCUUUCAACUCUGUCCCAAGGGAUGAGGCUGACGAUAGUAGAGAUGUUUUAGCUAAUCCUAAAACAGGGGAACGUCCUCAGAGUUUCAAGAAGCUGCUACUUUUAUUUUCUGGAAAUGAUUACUUGGGGUUGAGCUCACAUCCUACUAUUGGAAAAGCUGCUGCUGCAAAGGCAGCGCUGAAACAUGGAAUGGGCCCUCGAGGUUCUGCUCUAAUAUGUGGAUAUACCAAUUACCAUCGGCUACUCGAGUCAUGCUUGGCAGACUUAAAAAGAAGAAAGAGGGUUUGCUGCUAAUAUCAAUAUGGCCUUGAUGGUAACGUUGGGCAAUGUUGGCUUUCUCCUGGCCUCUGCCUCUGCCUCAAAGCCUUUGGAGCAUGAAAGGGUUGCCAUUUUUUCUGAUGCGUUCAACCAUGCUUCAAUAAUUGAUGAUGGUAUUCGUCUUGCCCAGCCACAGUCUAGUGUAGAGGUUUUCAUCUAUAGACACUGCAACAUGACUCACCUUAAGAGACACUGUUGUAUGUCUUGCAAAUUUCUGCAACAUUUUUGGCUGUCUUCUUUUGAGUUUUUUCAUACACAUAUAAGUGUAUAUAUUUAUAUUUGGGAUACAUAAAUUUUUGCACAUAUUUUUAUGCCGUGAUGAACACUGUUAAAACUGGAAAAUAAAAAUAUUCCACCUAUGUAAAUAUAAUUUAUAACAUGUGCUUUAAUUUCAACCAUUUGAUCGAGCACUGUUUAUCUCGGUGUAAAAAUAUGUGUGCAUUGAACUUAUCCCUGUAUAUUCAUCUAUGUAUACAUCUAUUCUUACAUCAAAAUUACUUCUCUUG
This is a long non-coding RNA of Humulus lupulus (European hop), 2578 nucleotides long. RefSeq lists it as uncharacterized. The transcript is spliced from 7 exons. The record is from RefSeq and is a predicted model, not a curated record. Lineage: Eukaryota; Viridiplantae; Streptophyta; Magnoliopsida; Rosales; Cannabaceae.